RNAcentral lists this ribosomal RNA (513 nucleotides) under uncultured organism. Its description in RNAcentral is "eukaryotic LSU rRNA". The stretch from base 137 to 290 matches the Rfam family "5.8S ribosomal RNA". The record is from RNAcentral.
CGGGGUUACAGCCUUGCUGAAUUAUUCACCCUUGUCUUUUGCGUACUUCUUGUUUCCUUGGUGGGUUCGCCCACCACUAGGACAAACAUAAACCUUUUGUAAUUGCAAUCAGCGUCAGUAACAAGUUAAUAAUCACACCUUUCAACAACGGAUCUCUUGGUUCUGGCAUCGAUGAAGAACGCAGCGAAAUGCGAUAAGUAGUGUGAAUUGCAGAAUUCAGUGAAUCAUCGAAUCUUUGAACGCACAUUGCGCCCUUUGGUAUUCCAAAGGGCAUGCCUGUUCGAGCGUCAUUUGUACCCUCAAGCUUUGCUUGGUGUUGGGCGUCUUGUCUCUAGCUUUGCUGGAGACUCGCCUUAAAGUAAUUGGCAGCCGGCCUACUGGUUUCGGAGCGCAGCACAAGUCGCACUCUCUAUCAGCAAAGGUCUAGCAUCCAUUAAGCCUUUUUUUCAACUUUUGACCUCGGAUCAGGUAGGGAUACCCGCUGAACUUAAGCAUAUCAAUAAGCGGAGGAAC